RNAcentral lists this ribosomal RNA (332 nucleotides) under uncultured Neomoorella sp. Its description in RNAcentral is "bacterial SSU rRNA". It matches the Rfam family "Bacterial small subunit ribosomal RNA", at positions 568 to 898 of the family's 1533-position model. Lineage: Bacteria; Bacillati; Bacillota; Clostridia; Neomoorellales; Neomoorellaceae. The record is from RNAcentral.
UGCGUAGGCGGGCUGACAAGUCGGGUGUGAAAUUCCAGGGCUUAACCCUGGAUCUGCAUUCGAAACUGCCGGUCUUGAGUACUGGAGAGGUGAGUGGAAUUCUCGGUGUAGCGGUGAAAUGCGUAGAUAUCGAGAGGAACACCGUUGGCGAAGGCGGCUCACUGGACAGAUACUGACGCUGAGGCACGAAGGUCGGGGGAGCAAACAGGAUUAGAUACCCUGGUAGUCCCGACGGUAAACGAUGGGCACUAGGUGUCGGAGGUAUCGACCCCUCCGGUGCCGCAGUUAACACAUUAAGUGCCCCGCCUGGGGAGUACGACCGCAAGGUUGAA